GACGAACGCUGGCGGCGUGCUUAACACAUGCAAGUCGAACGGUGAAGCGCCUUCCUUUUUGGUGGGUGUGGAUGAGUGGCGAACGGGUGAGUAACACGUGAGUAACCUGCCCCCUUCUUCUGGAUAACCGCAUGAAAGUGUGGCUAAUACGGGAUAUUCUGGGUCUGUCGCAUGAUGGGUCUGGGAAAGAUAUUGUUUCGGUGGGGGAUGGGCUCGCGGCCUAUCAGCUUGUUGGUGGGGUGAUGGCCUACCAAGGCGGUGACGGGUAGCCGGCCUGAGAGGGUGGACGGUCACACUGGGACUGAGACACGGCCCAGGCUCCUACGGGAGGCAGCAGUGGGGAAUAUUGCACAAUGGGCGCAAGCCUGAUGCAGCGACGCCGCGUGAGGGAUGGAGGCCUGCGGGUUGUGAACCUCUUUCGCCAGUGAAGCAGGCCUGCCUCGUUUGUGGGUGGGUUGACGGUAGCUGGAGAAGAAGCGCCGGCUAACUACGUG
RNAcentral lists this ribosomal RNA (494 nucleotides) under uncultured bacterium. Its description in RNAcentral is "partial 16S ribosomal RNA". It matches the Rfam family "Bacterial small subunit ribosomal RNA", at positions 28 to 507 of the family's 1533-position model. The record is from RNAcentral.